Chenopodium quinoa (quinoa) is the source of this 1115-nucleotide long non-coding RNA. RefSeq lists it as uncharacterized. The record is from RefSeq and is a predicted model, not a curated record. The transcript has 4 exons. Lineage: Eukaryota; Viridiplantae; Streptophyta; Magnoliopsida; Caryophyllales; Amaranthaceae.
GCUCAUUGUUGAUAAAGUUAUGUUUUUAAGACUUAUAUUCUCUCACAUAUAAAACAUUAAAACCUCACUUUCUUAUUUUAUUUAAUAAGAUACUCUAGAAAUUUCCCACUCUCUUCCUCACUUACCGCCAUGGAUAUAACUCCUCCAAUUUCCUCCUAGCUUGUAAAAUCCUCUCUUUGCUUGAAUUAAUAAACAAAUUUCACAUAAUUAGUGGUUCCUUACUUCAAUUUUGGGAAAUUCUCCCAAAAUUGACGCUUUGGGUUAAUUUGGUGCGCCGACCAUCGGGUGACGUCGGCUCAGAAAUCUUAUACGGUCUUCCUUGGUCUCUCUUCUUAAUCAUCAAUUCAUUUCUUCCUUCGGUUUAUCUUUGUGUCAUUCCCAGUGGGAUUCCAACCAAAUUUAUAAUAUCUACUUUGCGGUGCAUUUGGAUAAGGAAUGGGCAGCUGAACACUGUUCUGCCCCUUUUCGUGCUCCUGAGUUGUGGGAUUGUCCAAGUUAGUGCAAUAUCGAUGAAAGAACUGAUAUAUGGUCACUAGGAUGCACAUUGUACGCAAUAAUGUAUGGUGUCUCGCCCUUCGAGUAUGCGUUGGGAGAAUCUGGUGGAAGCCUACAAUUGGCCAUUGUAAAUGUUCAGAUAAAAUGGCCAGCCGGACCAAAGCCGCUAUAUCCUGAUACACUUCACCAGUUUGUGACAUGGAUGCUUCAGCCUCAAGCUGCUGUUCGACCACACAUUGAUGAUAUCAUCAUUCAUGUUGACAAGUUGAUAUCCAAGUACUCUGAUUAGCUCCAAACAUCUAUUGGCGGCCGUCAAACUCAAACUUGUAUGCACAGGUGUAUCUUGAAGGAUUUUUAUACAAAUUAUUCAGGUCAUAGACACACAUUACAGUUUAGUAAAUUCUGUGUUUGACAAAGGGUUAUCAAUUGCGCUUAUUUACUUUGUCUAAUACUUCGUGUAAGUUAGUAUUUAUAUAGAUAAUUUUUUUGGCGAUAGAUGUUUUUGUGUAGUAGAUUCAGUGUCAUUCGUAAACGUUAUGUUUUGUUUUACUAGUACUAGUCUGUUAGAGUAUACUGAAGUUUAUAUAGUAGUAAAAGGUAUUGCUUGGACAAUGGCAUCA